CGCGUCCUCGCUCGCGUCCCCGCUCCCUCCUCCCCUCUGCUUCUCCCUCCCCUCCACUCCCCCAUUGGCUUCUACCCCUCCCCCUUCUUCCUCCGCCUCUCCCACCAUUGGUUCCCUCCCCUACUCCAUUCCUUCUCACCUUUUCCCUUUUACCCAUUGGCGUGAGUAUUUUUCCUCAGCUUCCCUCUUUCUCCGUAUUCUGCUCCUCCUCAGUCCCAUCCUCCACGCUUUGGAAGCUACUGCCUUACUGCCCGGAGCGCCGUCGUCCCCGAACCUCCCCUGCUUCUCCCUUUCCUUCUGUUCCGGUUUCUGGUCGUAACUCAAGAGCAAACCACCGUACUGCAAAGGAACCAGAUAUUGUGCUCGCGGUUCCAAACCGGGCAUGGGCACCGAAUGCUUCUCGAUAAAUCCCCUUAUGGUCUCUGAGCAUUAAAGAAAGCAAGGGAGGAAAACAUGCGCCCAAGCUCGUUCGCAGGAACAUGUUCGCGUGUCUGCGCCUGUGUGCGCAGCCAGUUUUCUGGCUGAGGAUCGCUCGCCAACUACAGACAUCACCCGCCCAGGACCCGGUGCCACACUCACCCAGAAGACGAAACUCCACAGGAGCGAGAAGAGGAGUCCAUUUCUCCGUCGGCUCGGCACGGCACGGG
Molecule: long non-coding RNA, 647 nt
Filed under: Homo sapiens (human)
Lineage: Eukaryota; Metazoa; Chordata; Mammalia; Primates; Hominidae
Description: non-protein coding ARHGAP5-AS1:2
Source: RNAcentral